RNAcentral lists this ribosomal RNA (190 nucleotides) under uncultured bacterium. Its description in RNAcentral is "partial 16S ribosomal RNA". It matches the Rfam family "Bacterial small subunit ribosomal RNA", at positions 338 to 524 of the family's 1533-position model. The record is from RNAcentral.
CCUACGGGAGGCAGCAGUGAGGAAUAUUGGUCAAUGGACGCAAGUCUGAAUCAGCCAUGUCGCGUGCAGGAUGACUGCCCUAUGGGUUGUAAACUGCUUUUAUAUUGGAAGAAUUGCGCUUACGAGUUAAGCGUUUGACGGUACAUUAUGAAUAAGGAUCGGCUAACUCCGUGCCAGCAGCCGCGGUAAU